Molecule: non-coding RNA, 49 nt
Filed under: Schistosoma mattheei
Lineage: Eukaryota; Metazoa; Platyhelminthes; Trematoda; Strigeidida; Schistosomatidae
Source: RNAcentral
AUCCAGCUGACGGGUCCCAAAUAGAACGAAAGACGCAUCUAAACUGGAU